AGAGUUUGAUCCUGGCUCAGAACGAACGCUGGCGGCAGGCUUAACACAUGCAAGUCGAACGCGUGUAGCAAUACACGAGUGGCGCACGGGUGAGUAACGCGUGGAUAUCUGCCUUUUGGUUCGGAAUAACCCCGGGAAACUGGGGCUAAUACCGGAUGGUUCCUACGGGAUAAAGAUUUAUCGCCAAAAGAUGAGUCCGCGUCCGAUUAGCUAGUUGGUGAGGUAACGGCCCACCAAGGCAACGAUCGGUAGCUGGUCUGAGAGGACGAUCAGCCACACUGGGACUGAGACACGGCCCAGACUCCUACGGGAGGCAGCAGUGGGGAAUAUUGGACAAUGGGGGCAACCCUGAUCCAGCCAUGCCGCGUGAGUGAUGAAGGCCUUCGGGUUGUAAAGCUCUUUUGGCGGGGACGAUGAUGACGGUACCCGCAGAAUAAGCA
Molecule: ribosomal RNA, 440 nt
Filed under: uncultured bacterium
Lineage: Bacteria
Description: bacterial SSU rRNA
Rfam family: Bacterial small subunit ribosomal RNA
Source: RNAcentral